GACGAACGCUGGCGGCGUGCCUAACACAUGCAAGUCGAACGGAGCACCCUUGACUGCGACUUCGGUCAACGGAUAGGAAUGCUUAGUGGCAGACGGGUGAGUAACGCGUGAGUAACCUGCCCUUGAGAGGGGGAUAACACAUCGAAAGGUGUGCUAAUACCGCAUAACAUUGCGAAACCGCAUGAUUUUGCAAUCAAGNUUUAUCGCUCAAGGAUGGACUCGCGUCUGAUUAGAUAGUUGGUGAGGUAACGGCUCACCAAGUCGACGAUCAGUAGCCGGACUGAGAGGUUGAACGGCCACAUUGGGACUGAGACACGGCCCAGACCUCCUACGGGAGGCAGCAGUGGGAAUAUUGCACAAUGGGCGAAAGCCUGAUGCAGCAACGCCGCGUGAGGG
RNAcentral lists this ribosomal RNA (396 nucleotides) under uncultured bacterium. Its description in RNAcentral is "bacterial SSU rRNA". It matches the Rfam family "Bacterial small subunit ribosomal RNA", at positions 28 to 407 of the family's 1533-position model. The record is from RNAcentral.